RNAcentral lists this ribosomal RNA (253 nucleotides) under uncultured bacterium. Its description in RNAcentral is "partial 16S ribosomal RNA". It matches the Rfam family "Bacterial small subunit ribosomal RNA", at positions 524 to 776 of the family's 1533-position model. The record is from RNAcentral.
UACGUAGGGUGCGAGCGUUGUCCGGAAUUACUGGGCGUAAAGAGCUCGUAGGUGGUUUGUCGCGUUGUCCGUGAAAACUCACAACUCAAUUGUGGGCGUGCGGGCGAUACGGGCAGACUGGAGUACUGCAGGGGAGACUGGAAUUCCUGGUGUAGCGGUGGAAUGCGCAGAUAUCAGGAGGAACACCGGUGGCGAAGGCGGGUCUCUGGGCAGUAACUGACGCUGAGGAGCGAAAGUGUGGGGAUCAAACAGG